RNAcentral lists this ribosomal RNA (779 nucleotides) under Klebsiella pneumoniae. RNAcentral describes it as "bacterial SSU rRNA". It matches the Rfam family "Bacterial small subunit ribosomal RNA", at positions 77 to 850 of the family's 1533-position model. The record is from RNAcentral. Lineage: Bacteria; Pseudomonadati; Pseudomonadota; Gammaproteobacteria; Enterobacterales; Enterobacteriaceae.
AGCUUGCUCUCGGGUGACGAGCGGCGGACAGGUGAGUAAUGUCUGGGAAACUGCCUGAUGGAGGGGGAUAACUACUGGAAACGGUAGCUAAUACCGCAUAACGUCGCAAGACCAAAGUGGGGGACCUUCGGGCCUCAUGCCAUCACAUGUGCCCAGAUGGGAUUAGCUAGUAGGUGGGGUAACGGCUCACCUAGGCGACAAUCCCUAGCUGGUCUGAGAGGAUGACCAGCCACACUGGAACUGAGACACGGUCCACACUCCUACGGGAGGCAGCAGUGGGGAAUAUUGCACAAUGGGCGCAAGCCUGAUGCACCCAUGCCGCGUGUGUGAAAAAGGCCUUCGGGUUGUAAAGCACUUUCAGCGGGGAGGAAGGCGGUGAGGUUAAUAACCUCUUCGAUUGACGUUACCCGCAGAAAAAACACCGGCUAACUCCGUGCCACCAGCCGCGGUAAUACAGAGGGUGCAAGCGUUAAUCUGAAUUACUGGGCGUAAAGCGCACGCACGCGGUCUGUCAAGUCUGAUGUGAAAUCCCCGGGCUCAACCUGGGAACUGCAUUCUAAACUGGGAGGCUAUAGUCUUGUAUAGGGGGGUAGAAUUCCCGGUGUAUCGGUGAAAUGCGUAUAGAUCUGGAGGAAUACCGGUGGCGAAAGCGGCCCCCUGGACAAAGACUGAGGCUCACGUGCGAAAGCGUGUGGAGCAAACAGGAUUAUAUACCCUGGGAGUCCACGCCGUAAACGAUGUCUAUUUGGAGGUUGUGCCCUUGAGGCGUGGCUUCCGGA